This 611-nucleotide long non-coding RNA is filed under the name Homo sapiens (human). Its description in RNAcentral is "uncharacterized LOC107987142, transcript variant 2 (LOC107987142)". Lineage: Eukaryota; Metazoa; Chordata; Mammalia; Primates; Hominidae. The record is from RNAcentral.
AGUGCGCAGGCGCGCUUCCGUGGAGCAGUCCUUUGGCCCCAGCAGAGGGCUUGACCGUGGUCCUGGCCCCGGACUGAGGAGAGAGAGCCGCCUUUACCCGACAUGAGCAGGAGUUCGAGGAACAUCUGGACGAGCAAAGGCCACCAGGAGGUAGCACAGCAAAAAAGGCCAAGAGCCUGUUUUCUUUACCGAUGGCUGGCGGCAAAUAUUCCGAAAGAAACGUGUCAGGCAAGAAGCGCUAGUUCACGCCUGUCAUUCCACCGCUUUGGGAGGCCAAGGCAGGGGGAUCACUUGCCCCAGAAGUUUGAGACCAGCCUGGGCAACAUAGUGAGGCCCCUGUCUCUACAAAAAACUUAAAAUCAAUAAACAGGUCUCCUUCCUUCCUCAAUAGUCCUGUUGGUGGCUCACCUCUCUGCCUCUCCAGAUGUGAGGCAGAUCCACACGUUUAGCUAUUGAGAUAAGGCUGGGCGUGGUGGCUCACACCUGUCAUUCCGGCCUCAGAUCUCUUGUGCCCAGGAGUUUUAAGACUAGCCUGGGCGACCUGGCUGGCAACAUGGCCUCCACAAAAAUAAAUAAAACAUUUUAAAUAUAUAAACAUUGAGAUAAUAGCA